ACCCCUCUCCCUUCCUUGGUUCAGCCGCCAUCAGCAAAGGAAAAAGAAGAAGAGGCGUGCACCUCUCCUUGGCCUCCUUCCUUGGUUCCAACGCAGGGAAGAAAAGAAAGGCUGCAAGGGUUUCGUUCCUCUUCCUCUAUCCCUCCUUCUUCUUCCUCCUUUCAAGCACAUUCAAGAGUUGAAAGAAAGAGAGGAGAUCAGCCAUCAAAAGAAGUCUUUGCAAGGGAGCUAGCACCCUGGGAAGACAAGAGAGCUUUGAUCGGAUCUCUGCUUCGUGUGGAUACCCGUAGAGGCCGGGCACUUGAAC
Molecule: long non-coding RNA, 307 nt
Filed under: Phoenix dactylifera (date palm)
Lineage: Eukaryota; Viridiplantae; Streptophyta; Magnoliopsida; Arecales; Arecaceae
Description: long non-coding RNA (PDAC_LNC009817)
Source: RNAcentral